CCGGAAGUAGCCGAGGAGGGUGGAGCCUACAACCUGCGCAGGAGCGGCGUGGUACCUUAGAGCUGAGCGAGCGAGCCCGACGUAGUUUCAGUUGCCCAAGAUCAACUGUGGUUCAGAAGCCGAUGCUCAUCCUUCUGACAUGUCACCUAACAGUACAUCAGAACAUCUCCAUCGUUUACCUCCCUUUAUCUCAUCACAUAGACAUUUUAUCAUUUCAUACCACCACAAGAAGGAUAACUGCUGUCACAAAUUUUGUGUUUAUCAUGUAGGCUCCAUGCCCAGCGUGGAGCCCAGUGUGGGACUUGAACUUAUAACCCUGAGAUCAAGACCCGAGUUGAGAUCAAGAGUCAGAUGCUUAACCAACUGAGCUACCCAGGUGCCCUGAUGCUGUUCUUUUCUUUGUGAUGACCUGACCUCUAUCAUUUUCCAUCUCUCUGAAGAACUUCUAACAUUUCUUGCAAGGCAGGUCUGCUGGCAAAAAAUUCCCUCAAUUUUUGUUUGAGAAAAAUCUUCAUUUCUCCUUUAUUUAAAAAAUUUAGUUUUUAUAAGUUUUUUUUUUUAAAAAAAGAUUUUGUUUAUUUACUUGACAGACAGAGAUCACAAGUAGGCAGAGAGGCAGGCAGAGAGAGAGAGGAGGAGAAGCAGGCUCCCUGCUGAGCAGAGAGCCCGAUGCAGGGCUCGAUCCCAGGACCCUGAGAUGAGGCUUUAACCCACUGAGCCACCCAGGCACCCCAAGUUUUUAUAAGUUUUUAUUCAAAUUCCAGUUAGUUAACAUUUGGUGUAGUAUUAGUUUCACGUAUGCAAUAGUGAUUCAACCCUUCCGUACAUCACCCUGUGCUCAUCACGACAGUGCAUGAAGGAUAAUUUCAGAGUACAAAAUUUUUCGUUGGUGGGAUUUUUUGUCCCAACACUUUAAAUAUUUUACUCCACUUGCUUUCAUGAUUUCUGAAAAGUUGGAUGUAAUUCUUACCUUUGCCCCUCUAUAGAUAAGGUGUUUUUUCCUCUGGCUUAUUUCAAGAUUUUUUUCUUUUAUUGUUGAUUUUCUGCAGUGUGAAUAUGAUAUACCUAGGUAUAGUUUUUUUGGGCAUUUAUUCUUCUUGGUAUUCUCUGAGCUUCCUUGGAUCUGUGGUUUGGUGUUUCAAAUACUCAGUUAUUAUUGCUUUAAAUAUUUAUCCUGUUCCUUUCUCUCGUUCUUCUGGCUGUCCCGUCAUACAUGUUACUCCUUUUGUAGUUGUCCCACAGUUCUUGGAUCUUAGGGUUUUUUUUAGCUGUUUUUUUCCCCCUUUGCUUUUUCAGUUUUAGAAAUUUCCACUGGGGCGCUUGGGUGGCUCAGUCGGUUAAGUGUCCGACUCCGACUCUUGGUUUCAGCUCAGGUCAUGGUCUCAGAGUCGUGAGAUUGAGCCCCGCAUCAGUUCCCUGCUGAGCUGGAGCCUGAUUAAGGUUCUCUCUCUGCCCAUCCCCCCAAAGAAAAACAAAAAAACCAAAAACAUUUCUAUUGAGAUCAAGAUCAGAGACUCUUUCUUCAGCUA
Molecule: long non-coding RNA, 1529 nt
Organism: Mustela lutreola (European mink)
Lineage: Eukaryota; Metazoa; Chordata; Mammalia; Carnivora; Mustelidae
Exons: 4
Source: RefSeq, a predicted model, not a curated record